RNAcentral lists this non-coding RNA (28 nucleotides) under Bombyx mori (domestic silkworm). The record is from RNAcentral. Lineage: Eukaryota; Metazoa; Arthropoda; Insecta; Lepidoptera; Bombycidae.
UCACUAUUAAUUUAUUGAAAGAUUCAUG